AAUAGUGAUAUGGAGCAAAACCCUAAAAAGACGGUCUCAGUUCGGAUUGAAGGCUGAAAUUCGCCUUCAUGAAGCUGGAAUUGCUAGUAAUGGCAGGUCAGCAUACUGCCGUGAAUACGUUCCCGGGCCUUGUACACACCGCCCGUCACACCAUGAGAGUUGGAAAUACCCGAAGCCUGUGAGCUAACUGUAAAGAGGCAGCAGUCGAAGGUAGAGCCAAUGAUUGGGGUGAAGUCGUAACAAGGUAGC
Molecule: ribosomal RNA, 249 nt
Filed under: uncultured bacterium
Lineage: Bacteria
Description: partial 16S ribosomal RNA
Rfam family: Bacterial small subunit ribosomal RNA
Source: RNAcentral